GGCCAAUGCUAUGGGGGUCCGACUAAGCCAUGCGAGUCAUGGGGCGCGCUCUGCGCGCACCGGCGGACGGCUCAGUAACACGUCGGUAACCUACCCUCGGGAGGGGGAUAACCCCGGGAAACUGGGGCUAAUCCCCCAUAGGCCUGGGGUACUGGAAGGUCCUCAGGCCGAAAGGGUCUUUGACCGCCCGAGGAUGGGCCGGCGGCCGAUUAGGUAGUUGGUGGGGUGACGGCCCACCAAGCCGAAGAUCGGUACGGGCCAUGAGAGUGGGAGCCCGGAGAUGGACACUGAGACACGGGUCCAGGCCCUACGGGGCGCAGCAGGCGCGAAACCUCCGCAAUGCGGGCAACCGCGACGGGGGGACCCCCAGUGCCGUGUCAUCGCCACGGCUUUUCCGGAGUGUAAAAAGCUCCUGGAAUAAGGGCUGGGCAAGGCCGGUGGCAGCCGCCGCGGUAAUACCGGCGGCCCGAGUGGUGGCCGCUAUUAUUGGGCCUAAAGCGUCCGUAGCCGGGCCCGUAAGUCCCAGGCGAAAUCCCACGGCUCAACCGUGGGGCUUGCUGGGGAUACUGCGGGCCUUGGGACCGGGAGAGGCGGGGGGUACCCCUGGGGUAGGGGUGAAAUCCUAUAAUCCCAGGGGGACCGCCAGUGGCGAAGGCGCCCCGCUGGAACGGGUCCGACGGUGAGGGACGAAGGCCAGGGGAGCGAACCGGAUUAGAUACCCGGGUAGUCCUGGCUGUAAAGGAUGCGGGCUUGGUGUCGGGCGAGCUUCGAGCUCGCCCGGUGCCGAAGGGAAGCCGUUAAGCCCGCCGCCUGGGGAGUACGGCCGCAAGGCUGAAACUUAAAGGAAUUGGCGGGGAGCACUACAAGGGUGGAGCGUGCGGUUU
RNAcentral lists this ribosomal RNA (884 nucleotides) under uncultured archaeon. RNAcentral describes it as "bacterial SSU rRNA". It matches the Rfam family "Archaeal small subunit ribosomal RNA", at positions 21 to 903 of the family's 1478-position model. The record is from RNAcentral.